GAUGAACGCUGGCGGCGUGCCUAAUACAUGCAAGUCGAGCGAACGGACGAGAAGCUUGCUUCUCUGAUGUUAGCGGCGGACGGGUGAGUAACACGUGGAUAACCUACCUAUAAGACUGGGAUAACUUCGGGAAACCGGAGCUAAUACCGGAUAAUAUUUUGAACCGCAUGGUUCAAAAGUGAAAGACGGUCUUGCUGUCACUUAUAGAUGGAUCCGCGCUGCAUUAGCUAGUUGGUAAGGUAACGGCUUACCAAGGCAACGAUGCAUAGCCGACCUGAGAGGGUGGUCGGCCACACUGGAACUGAGACACGGUCCAGACUCCUACGGGAGGCCGCAGUAGGGAAUCUUCCGCAAUGGGCGAAAGCCUGACGGAGCCACGCCGCGUGAGUGAUGAAGGUCUUCGGAUCGUAAAACCCUGUUGUUAGGGAAGAACGUAUGUGUAAAUAACUGUGCACAUCUUGACGGUACCUAAUCAGAAAGCCACGGCUAACUACGUG
RNAcentral lists this ribosomal RNA (497 nucleotides) under uncultured bacterium. Its description in RNAcentral is "partial 16S ribosomal RNA". It matches the Rfam family "Bacterial small subunit ribosomal RNA", at positions 28 to 507 of the family's 1533-position model. The record is from RNAcentral.